CCUACGGGUGGCAGCAGUGGGGAAUAUUGCACAAUGGGGGAAACCCUGAUGCAGCGACGCCGCGUGAGUGAAGACGUCACUCGGUAUGUAAAGCUUCAUCUGCAGGGAAGAAAAUGACGGUACGUGUGUAAGAAGCCCCGGCUAAUUACGAGCCAGCAGCCGCGGUAACACGUCGGGGGCCAGCGUUAUCCGGAUUUACUGGGUGGAAAGGGGGCGUAGACGGCAGUGCAGGUCAGGAGUGAAAGGCGGGGGCUCAACCCUCGGACUGCACUGGAAACUGUCCGGCUGGAGUGCAGGAGAGGUAAGUGGAAUUCGUAGUGUAGCGGUGAAAUGCGUAGAUAUUAGGAAGAACACCGGUGGCGAAGGCAGCUUACUGGACUGUAACUGACGUUGAUGCUCGAAAGCGUGGGGAGCAAACAGGAUUAGAUACCCCGGUAGUC
Molecule: ribosomal RNA, 440 nt
Filed under: uncultured bacterium
Lineage: Bacteria
Description: partial 16S ribosomal RNA
Rfam family: Bacterial small subunit ribosomal RNA
Source: RNAcentral